RNAcentral lists this ribosomal RNA (508 nucleotides) under uncultured bacterium. Its description in RNAcentral is "partial 16S ribosomal RNA". It matches the Rfam family "Bacterial small subunit ribosomal RNA", at positions 899 to 1397 of the family's 1533-position model. The record is from RNAcentral.
ACUCAAAUGAAUUGACGGGGACCCGCACAAGCGGUGGAGCAUGUGGUUUAAUUCGAGGCUACACGAGGAACCUUACCUGGGCUUGACAUGUUAGAAGUAGUCACCUAGAAAUAGGAGGCGACCGUAUCCAAUCGGAGUCUUUCACAGGUGCUGCAUGGCUGUCGUCAGCUCGUGCUGUGAAGUGUUGGGUUAAGUCCCGCAACGAGCGCAACCAUUGUUCAUAGUUACCAGCGGGUUAUGCCGGGGACUCUAUGAAGACUGCCGGUGGUAAACCGGAGGAAGGUGGAGAUGACGUCAAGUCAGCAUGGCCCUUACGUCCAGGGCUACACACGUGCUACAAUGGUCGGUACAAUGGGACGCAAACCCGCGAGGGGGAGCAAAUCCAUAAAAGCCGGCCUCAGUUCGGAUUGCAGGCUGCAAUUCGCCUGCAUGAAGUCGGAAUCGCUAGUAAUGGCGCAUCAGAUAUGGCGCCGUGAAUACGUUCCCGGGUCUUGUACACACCGCCCGU